UGGGGAAUAUUGGACAAUGGGCGCAAGCCUGAUCCAGCCAUGCCGCGUGCAGGAAGAAGGCCUUCUGGGUCGUAAACUGCUUUUCUCUGGGGAUAAAAAGCCCGUGCGCGGGAAAUUGAAGGUACCAGAGGAAUAAGCCACGGCUAACUACGUGCCAGCAGCCGCAGUAAUACGUAGGUGGCAAGCGUUGUCCGGAUUUAUUGGGUUUAAAGGGUGCGUAGGCGGUUCCAUAAGUCAGUGGUGAAAUACGGCAGCUCAACUGUCGAGGUGCCAUUGAUACUGCGGAACUUGAGUACUGAUGAGGUAGGCGGAAUUGACGGUGUAGCGGUGAAAUGCUUAGAUAUCGUCAAGAACACCGAUAGCGAAGGCAGCUUACCAAGCAGUAACUGACGCUGAGGCACGAAAGUGCGGGGAUCAAACAGGAUUAGAUACC
RNAcentral lists this ribosomal RNA (433 nucleotides) under uncultured bacterium. RNAcentral describes it as "bacterial SSU rRNA". It matches the Rfam family "Bacterial small subunit ribosomal RNA", at positions 355 to 786 of the family's 1533-position model. The record is from RNAcentral.